Acanthosepion pharaonis is the source of this 112-nucleotide non-coding RNA. The record is from the annotation of a GenBank genome assembly. Lineage: Eukaryota; Metazoa; Mollusca; Cephalopoda; Sepiida; Sepiidae.
UUACGGCCAUAUCACGGAAUCUACCGGUUCUCGUAUGAUCAGCGAAGUUAAGCAACGUCAAGUCUGGUCAGUACCUAGAUGGGUGACCGCUUCGGAAUACCAGGUGCUGGAA